This 593-nucleotide ribosomal RNA is filed under the name uncultured bacterium. Its description in RNAcentral is "bacterial SSU rRNA". It matches the Rfam family "Bacterial small subunit ribosomal RNA", at positions 1 to 614 of the family's 1533-position model. The record is from RNAcentral.
CGGCGCGGGAAUUCGAUUAUUCGUCGACAACAGAGUCUGAUCCUGGCUCAGAACGAACGCUGGCGGCAGGCUUAAUACAUGCAAGUCGAACGGCUGUAGCAAUACAGCAGUGGCAGACGGGUGAGUAACACGUGGGAACCUACCUAGGGGUACGGAAUAACUCAGGGAAACUUGUGCUAAUACCGUAUACGACCUCAGGGUGAAAGAUUUAUCGCCCCUAGAUGGGCCCGCGCUGGAUUAGCUAGUUGGUGGGGUAAAAGCCUACCAAGGCGACGAUCCAUAGCUGGUCUGAGAGGAUGAUCAGCCACACUGGGACUGAGACACGGCCCAGACUCCUACGGGAGGCAGCAGUAGGGAAUCUUGGACAAUGGGCGAAAGCCUGAUCCAGCCAUGCCGCGUGAGUGAUGAAGGCCUUANGGUUGUAAAGCUCUUUCGCCAGGGAAGAUAAUGACGGUACCUGGAUAAUAAGCCCCGGCUAACUUCGUGCCAGCAGCCGCGGUAAUACGAAGGGGGCUANCGUUGUUCGGAAUUACUGGGCGUAAAGCGCACGUAGGCGGCAUUCCAAGUUGGAGGUGAAAUCCCCGGGCUUAACC